Molecule: ribosomal RNA, 406 nt
Filed under: uncultured bacterium
Lineage: Bacteria
Description: partial 16S ribosomal RNA
Rfam family: Bacterial small subunit ribosomal RNA
Source: RNAcentral
AUUGAACGCUGGCGGCAGGCCUAACACAUGCAAGUCGAACGAGUGGCGGACGGGUGAGUAAUGUCUGGGAAACUGCCUGAUGGAGGGGUAUAACUACUAGAAACGGUAGCUAAUACCGCAUACCAUCGGAUGUGCCCAGAUGGGAGUAGUUAGUAGGUGGGGUAACGGCUCACCAAGGAAACGAUCCCUAGCUGGUCUGAGAGGAUGACCAGCACAACGGUAACUGAGACACGGUCCAGAAUCCUACGGGAGGCAGCAGUGGGGAAUAUUGCAUAAUGGGCGCAAGCCUGAUGCAGCCAUGCCGCGUGUAUGAAGAAGGCCUUCGGGUUGUAAAGUACUUUCAGUGGGGAGGCGUUACCCGCAGAAUAAGCACCGGCUAACUCCGUGCCAGCAGCCGCGGUAAUAC